GUAGGUGGCAAGCGUUGUCCGGAAUUAUUGGGCGUAAAGCGCGCGCAGGCGGUUCUUUAAGUCUGAUGUGAAAGCCCACGGCUCAACCGUGGAGGGUCAUUGGAAACUGGAGAACUUGAGUACAGAAGAGGAAAGCGGAAUUCCACGUGUAGCGGUGAAAUGCGUAGAGAUGCGGAGGAACACCAGUGGCGAAGGCGGCUUUCUGGUCUGUAACUGACGCUGAGGCGCGAAAGCGUGGGGAGCAAACAGGGAUUAGAUACCCUGGUAGUCCACGCCGUAAACGAUGAGUGCUAAGUGUUAGGGGGGUUUCCGCCCCCUUAGUGCUGCAGCUAACGCAUUAAGCACUCCGCCUGGGGAGUACGGCCGCAAGGCUG
Molecule: ribosomal RNA, 374 nt
Filed under: uncultured organism
Description: partial 16S ribosomal RNA
Rfam family: Bacterial small subunit ribosomal RNA
Source: RNAcentral